RNAcentral lists this ribosomal RNA (279 nucleotides) under uncultured bacterium. Its description in RNAcentral is "partial 16S ribosomal RNA". It matches the Rfam family "Bacterial small subunit ribosomal RNA", at positions 506 to 784 of the family's 1533-position model. The record is from RNAcentral.
UGCCAGCAGCCGCGGUAAUACGAAGGGGGCUAGCGUUGUUCGGAAUCACUGGGCGUAAAGCGCGUGUAGGCGGCGCUGUAAGUCGGAUGUGAAAUCCCCGGGCUCAACCUGGGAACUGCAUCCGAUACUGCAGUGCUAGAGUCCCGGAGGGGGUGGCGGAAUUCCUGGUGUAGAGGUGAAAUUCGUAGAUAUCAGGAGGAACACCCGUGGCGAAGGCGGCCACCUGGACGGGUACUGACGCUGAGACGCGAAAGCGUGGGGAGCAAACAGGAUUAGAUA